This 179-nucleotide ribosomal RNA is filed under the name uncultured bacterium. RNAcentral describes it as "partial 16S ribosomal RNA". It matches the Rfam family "Bacterial small subunit ribosomal RNA", at positions 332 to 526 of the family's 1533-position model. The record is from RNAcentral.
AUUACUCCUACGGGAGGCAGCAGUGAGGAAUAUUGCACAAUGGGCGAAAGCCUGAUGCAGCGACGCCGCGUGGGUGAAGAAGGUUUUCGGAUCGUAAAACCCUUUUCUGUGUGACGAGAACGGACGGUAGCACAGGAAUAAGUCUCGGCUAACUACGUGCCAGCAGCCGCGGUAAUAAU